RNAcentral lists this unclassified non-coding RNA (149 nucleotides) under soil metagenome. Its description in RNAcentral is "partial internal transcribed spacer 1". The record is from RNAcentral.
CCGAGUUUACAACUCCCAAACCCACUGUGAACAUACCUAUACGUUGCCUCGGCGGAUCAGCCGCGCCCCGUAAAAACGGGACGGCCCGCCCGAGGACCCUAAACUCUGUUUUUCAGUGGAACUUCUGAGUAAAACAAACAAAUAAAUUA